GUGUACAAGGCCCGGGAACGUAUUCACCGCGGCAUUCUGAUCCGCGAUUACUAGCAAUUCCAACUUCAUGCAGGCGGGUUGCAGCCUGCAAUCCGAACUGGGACCGUUUUUGGGGUUUUGCUCUGCCUCGCGGCUUUGCUUCCCUCUGUUAACGGCCAUUGUAGUACGUGUGUAGCCCAGGUCAUAAGGGGCAUGAUGAUUUGACGUCGUCCCCACCUUCCUCCGUUUUGUCAACGGCAGUCUGAUUAGAGUGCUCUUGCGUAGCAACUAAUCACAGGGGUUGCGCUCGUUGCGGGACUUAACCCAACAUCUCACGACACGAGCUGACGACAACCAUGCACCACCUGUCUCAACUUUCCCCGAAGGGCACCUGAUGUAUCUCUACUUCGUUAGUUGGAUGUCAAGACCUGGUAAGGUUCUUCGCGUUGCUUCGAAUUAAACCACAUACUCCACUGCUUGUGCGGGCCCCCGUCAAUUCCUUUGAGUUUCAACCUUGCG
RNAcentral lists this ribosomal RNA (498 nucleotides) under uncultured bacterium. RNAcentral's name for it is "partial 16S ribosomal RNA". The record is from RNAcentral.